GCCGGAGGAAGGUGGGACGACGUCAAGUCAGCAUGACCUUUAUAUCCAGGGCUACACACACGCUACAAUGGUCAGUACAAUGGGUUGCCAAGCCGCGAGGCGGAGCCAAUCCUAAAAAGCUGGCCUCAGUUCAGAUUGCAGUCUGAAACUCGACUGCAUGAAGUCGGAGUUGCUAGUAAACGCAGGUCAGCUAUACUGCGUUGAAUACGUUCCCGGGGCUU
Molecule: ribosomal RNA, 221 nt
Filed under: uncultured Anaerolineaceae bacterium
Lineage: Bacteria; Bacillati; Chloroflexota; Anaerolineae; Anaerolineales; Anaerolineaceae
Description: partial 16S ribosomal RNA
Rfam family: Bacterial small subunit ribosomal RNA
Source: RNAcentral